CCUAGCCUUAAGGAUGGGGAUAACAGACGGAAACGACUGCUAAUACCGAAUACAUUCUAAGCAUCGCAUGAUGCAUAGAAGAAAGGGUGGCCUCUACAAGAAAGCUAUCGCCUUAAGAGGGGUUUGCGACUGAUUAGGUAGUUGGUGAGGUAACGGCUCACCAAGCCGACGAUCAGUAGCCGGUCUGAGAGGAUGAACGGCCACACUGGAACUGAGACACGGUCCAG
RNAcentral lists this ribosomal RNA (227 nucleotides) under uncultured bacterium. Its description in RNAcentral is "partial 16S ribosomal RNA". It matches the Rfam family "Bacterial small subunit ribosomal RNA", at positions 124 to 334 of the family's 1533-position model. The record is from RNAcentral.